RNAcentral lists this ribosomal RNA (484 nucleotides) under uncultured bacterium. Its description in RNAcentral is "partial 16S ribosomal RNA". It matches the Rfam family "Bacterial small subunit ribosomal RNA", at positions 30 to 507 of the family's 1533-position model. The record is from RNAcentral.
AUUGAACGCUAGCGGGAUGCUUUACACAUGCAAGUCGAACGGCAGCGCGGACUUCGGUCUGGCGGCGAGUGGCGAACGGGUGAGUAAUGUAUCGGAACGUGCCCAGUAGCGUGGGAUAACUACGCGAAAGCGUGGCUAAUACCGCAUACGCCCUACGGGGGAAAGCAGGGGAUCGUAAGACCUUGCACUAUUGGAGCGGCCGAUAUCGGAUUAGCUAGUUGGUGAGGUAACGGCUCACCAAGGCGACGAUCCGUAGCUGGUUUGAGAGGACGACCAGCCACACUGGGACUGAGACACGGCCCAGACUCCUACGGGAGGCAGCAGUGGGGAAUUUUGGACAAUGGGGGCAACCCUGAUCCAGCCAUCCCGCGUGUGCGAUGAAGGCCUUCGGGUUGUAAAGCACUUUUGGCAGGAAAGAAACGUCGCGGGCUAAUACCCCGUGGAACUGACGGUACCUGCAGAAUAAGCACCGGCUAACUACGUG